Long non-coding RNA from Rhodamnia argentea, 408 nucleotides. RefSeq lists it as uncharacterized. Lineage: Eukaryota; Viridiplantae; Streptophyta; Magnoliopsida; Myrtales; Myrtaceae. The record is from RefSeq and is a predicted model, not a curated record. The transcript has 2 exons.
UAAGAUCUAACCUUGCGGUUGCUCAUGUGAGUUUGAUCACACUGUGGGGACACAAUCCUAUUGAUGGCUAUAGCUGAUUUUGUUAAAUUAGUGGACUGAGAUAAGUUUCAAGCAUUUUCAAAAUCUAAGACGCCUUUGUAAAAGUUGUAUAAAGGGUUUUUCUGGGACAUUUUGACAACCCAACAUCGUUGGAUGUGUUAUUUUCUUGUAAACUAUCAUCCUUUAUUCUCGUGAUGUAGUUCCUAAUUUAACUUUUGACUGCAUGUUUGAGUAGGUUGGAAUUUGUGCAACUAUUUCCGCAUGUAAAUGGUAGUUGCAUAUCAUAUAUGUCUCUGGCUCGAAUUAUUCAGUUCUAUAAUUUUUUUCUUCUGGAGAACGGACAUCCCUAGGCGGUUCUUUUCACUUCAA